This 550-nucleotide ribosomal RNA is filed under the name uncultured bacterium. Its description in RNAcentral is "bacterial SSU rRNA". It matches the Rfam family "Bacterial small subunit ribosomal RNA", at positions 355 to 896 of the family's 1533-position model. The record is from RNAcentral.
UAGGGAAUCUUCGGCAAUGGACGGAAGUCUGACCGAGCAACGCCGCGUGAGUGAAGAAGGUUUUCGGAUCGUAAAGCUCUGUUGUAAGAGAAGAACGAGUGUGAGAGUGGAAAGUUCACACUGUGACGGUAUCUUACCGGAAAGGGACGGCUAACUACGUGCCAGCAGCCGCGGUAAUACGUAGGUCCCGAGCGUUGUCCGGAUUUAUUGGGCGUAAAGCGAGCGCAGGCGGUUAGAUAAGUCUGAAGUUAAAGGCUGUGGCUUAACCAUAGUACGCUUUGGAAACUGUUUAACUUGAGUGCAAGAGGGGAGAGUGGAAUUCCAUGUGUAGCGGUGAAAUGCGUAGAUAUAUGGAGGAACACCGGUGGCGAAAGCGGCUCUCUGGCUUGUAACUGACGCUGAGGCUCGAAAGCGUGGGGAGCAAACAGGAUUAGAUACUCUGGUAGUCCACGCCGUAAACGAUGAGUGCUAGGUGUUAGACCCUUUCCGGGGUUUAGUGCCGCAGCUAACGCAUUAAGCACUCCGCCUGGGGAGUACGACCGCAAGGUUG